RNAcentral lists this unclassified non-coding RNA (1173 nucleotides) under Hevea brasiliensis (rubber tree). Lineage: Eukaryota; Viridiplantae; Streptophyta; Magnoliopsida; Malpighiales; Euphorbiaceae. The record is from RNAcentral.
AGAAAGCUGGAUUUUGAGCCCAAAUACUGUGAGAAGCAGAGAAACAAACAAGAUUUUUUUACUGCAGUUGAAUUUUCUGCAGAGGAUCCUUAUGGCAAAGCAGUGGCUUUGCUUGACUUUAAGUCUGCCACUCUUAUGGUACAAUUUUGCCUUCUCAUUAAAUCUGACUAGAAUUCUAGUUAGAGAAUCUUUUUGGCCGCUUUUCUAUUCAUUGCUCUUUAUUUUAAAAUGAAUUAACAGGUAAAAGAAGAAUGGUUGGUGCUGCCUGCAAUCGUUUCAGCGUUUAUACUUGCUGAUAUUUUGAAGAAUGAACGGUAUGGAGGCUUCAUUAUUAAAGGAGAAAAUUUGGAGAAGUUGGAUGGUAAUGUGGAAAAGGUCAGUAGGUUCCACGAGGAAGCCAAACAAAUCGAACAGGCUACUUCUGUAGAAAGUAAACUGGAGUUGAAUGGUAAUGCAAUAAAGAGUGGAGGCUGUGGUAGCGGUUGUGGUGGUGGAUGCAGGAACAUGGUAAAAAGCAGAGGCUGCGGAGGUGGUUGUGGUGGUGGAUGCGGAAACAGGAACAUGGUAAAAAGCGGAGGCUGUGGUGGCAGUUGUGGUGGUGGAUGUGCAAAUGUGGUAAAAAGUGGAGGCUGUGGUGGCGGUUGUGAUGGUGGUGGAUGUGGAAACGUGAUCAAUAAUGAUGGCAAUGGGCUUGGAGGUAUGGUGGAGAGUGCCGAUUGUGGUGGCUGUGGAGCCAGUUGUGUAGACAAAACAUCAAAUGAAACCAAUAUUGGUAACUCCCACAUUGAUUCUUCCCCCAUAGAAUCAGCCACCUAUGCAACUGAAGGAACCGUUGUUUGAUCAUAUGAAACUCAUAAAUGCAUGCAAUUACUAAAGCAUUCUUAAAUAAGGUUCAUUAGAAAAUGAAUAAGAUUCUCAUCAUGAAGUGUGGUGAAGGAAUAAGGUUUGGUUACUGUGGUAUGUAUCUCUACAUACGGUGUCUAUUACAAAAAGUUCUUUACUUCUCCAAUUCAUGUAUCCAACAGUUACUUGUUUACUUGUGUUAUCUUUCUGUGUCCUCUAAACUUGGCGAUUGCCAUAUUUCUGUUUUCUUUAUUCGAAUGAAUUUGUCAUGAAAGCGUGUGAUAUGAGCUGUUUGCCUUGGAUUCCAUUACAUUGAUAUCUCAGUUUUGU